UUGCGGGUGAGAAGGGCAGUUGAUUACAUAUAUAGAACAAGUGAUCACAAGCUUGACAGUAAUGAGGCCUAAAGUGUACAUGCAGUAUCAUACACAAAUGGAAAUCUAAAGGCUAUACAUAUCUUGCUUAGAGCAACGCCAAAAAGGCAAAGAUACUGGAUCGCUUGAUACGAAACAAAAGAUGGCUCUGUUGGUUACCAUACUAUCUUGUGUAGUCUUCAAGCGCUGCUCUGACUUCAUGCCAAUAUAGUGUAGCCUCUCCGUCACUUCUUCAAUGCUUGGAUUAGCUACUACUUUAGUUCUUUCGAUAAAACAUUUUUUACACCAGUAGCAGCACCCCUAAGAUUAGCAAGCUUCCAGCAAAAGGAUCACAUGAGAAUCACAUAUCUGUAUCCUAUAUGAAGAGAAACAGAAACACAACAAGAUGACAUAAAUAAAUAGAGGUAUCAAAACUGUAAUUGCUAUAAGAACAGAAGCUUGAUUGCAUAGGGUUUCUUAUUACUGUUUUGUUUUAUGAUUCCAGUUUCCAUGGUGUUAGUAAGUGCAUAGCAGCAACGCCGGCUAGUUAAGAUCCCUAUGACAGAGUCAAGCUAAUCAUUGGGAACCAUGCAAGAGAAAAAAAGAAUAAAGAGGACGGUAAAUCCAAUAGAAAUACUAAGAGUAGUUGAAACACAAGAAUUUAUGGUAAGUUGGUGUGACCACCCGGUCAUCAUCUUUCACUUGCCAAACAAGGACACAUGCGUGUGGAAGACCCCUCUUUUUGAACUCUGGUGUAGAGAACUGGAAAACAGGAGGGUAAAUGAAAAACAUGAAAAAUAAGAAACGUGGGUAAGAAAAACAAAAAAAGGAGAGAAAAUGCACUGGGCAUGGUACCCGGAACUACAGUCCCAAACAUAUUUCUGGUCUUGAUCUUCUGUAGGUACUCAAGCAGUUUCAUGUGAUAUACUCGAACAGUAAUAUCAGCCCUAUUGACUAUUUUUUGCCCGCGUUCAAGACUCCCAUUAUUUCAGGCCACUUUGGAUUACACGUGAAGGUUGUGAUUAUAUCAGGCGAGGCUUGGACAUGGGAAAUAGUCAUCGCGGCGUGGAAGUUUUCAGUUAUACAGCGACGCCCACCGGUAUAGGAUAACGGCAUAAUAUUUUUCUUAUGGACCUCGGCUUCAUCAAGCUUACCAAGUCCAACAGCGUCAACAACAAGCUGGAGCUUUUUAGCGCUCAUAUCGUCCGGAAGCUUUUCAGAAAGGACCUUGAUUGAGUAGUGAGAAGAUCAGAAGGUAGUAAAUCACCACAGUCCGCGUAGCAGCAACCAAAUAACAAGAUGAAGAUGAUAGGGCAGCAAGGAACCUGUGGUAAAUGGAGGCACAUGAAUAUUGUACAUGCAGAAAUAGCUGAAAUGAAACAGGUUUUGCUAUCUCAGGCACAACAGAUACUGUAGUUGCUCAACAUAAUCUAAUAAGCAAGAACAGAGUGGGAUAUAAACUUAUUAUGUUUUCUUUUUGCUUAGGCAAGAACAGACGUGAAUAUGACUAAAAACUGUUGUUUUUUCUAUGUAUGCGGAGGCAAAACCAAAGCAAGGUAAAUAAUAAGCUUUUGAAACUAUAUUUUUGGCUGCUGAUAAGUGAAACCUGUGUAUUUCUUUGUACCAAGCACACAAGUAAGACCAGAAAGAAAAUAAAGGAAGAGGAUCUUAGCAGGCCUUUUACAAAAACAAAUCGACCUUCUCUGUGUUGAACAUUAAAUUCAGCUGGCAAUUCUUGGCUUUGAUUUCCAGGUGAGUCCCUAUCGAUAUGCAAAGAAGGCGAGAAAGAACCUAGAAUAUUAACUGCAGCAGGGAAUUAACAGGAAGAAACAUGAUGUUUGCCUUCAGAGGUAAACCGAUGAAGGAGAAGGGCUUUUAGGUUAGCUAGCCCAGCAGUAAAUAGAAGAUAUACGGAGGCGCACACAGUGUAACAGCAACGACAAGACAUAGUUUAAACAGCAUGGCUGAGCGGCAUUUAUAGUGAGUAGAGAUUGUCAUAAGGAAGGAGAUAAGGCAGAAAGGGCCAAAGGCAAUAUUUACAAUGAUGGUUUGUUCGACAGGAUAGAAGGCGUCCUGAUUACGAACCGCAUCAGCUGAAUUCCCUAUAGUAUCACGGCUCAAGUACUCUCUCUCACUGGUAGGCACUAAAGAUAGAACACACUCGUUUAUUUUUUCAGCUACUUCGUUUGUUGGUGUUAGAAUUGCUCUUUCUUUUAGAUAAUCAACGUCAGAAUACCUAGUAGGAACAUUUUUGUAUACAGCCUGAAGACAGGAAAUUAAUGAACAACAACAAAAUUCAGACAAACAAGCAGAAGCAUUAAAGCAGUGCACAGGAGCAUUAAAGCAUAUAUUAUGUUCAACAUUGUGGAAAUUGUGCAUAAGGCCUAAAGACUGAAUCAAAUCAGCAUUAUUGGUCAACUCCUACUAUUGGUAUAUUUUAAAUUUUUCCGGUACAUCUGGUCUCAGUAUAUACUAAAAGAACUGGUUCAAAUAACUCCAUAUGAGCAUUCUAGAUCAUCAAACCUUUUGAAAUUUCUUUCUUGUCACAUCUUUAAUGACCAAGAUCGAAGAAAAAUAGACUGCACACAAACCAUAGCAACAGCCAAAACUUAGUUUGGAUCAGACAAAUUAUAUUGAAUGUUACGUGAGUUAGACUGACGAAUAGAGAUAUGCUGAGAAAAUGUUGAACCAAACCACGGACAUCAAGACCAUUUUUCUGAAUAAAAAAGGGCAGCUAUAAUUGUCUGUGUUAAACAGAAACAAUAAUAGCUCAAAUAAGCCGAGAAAUAACAUAAAACUCUUGGGGUAGCUCGUCCAAAUGAAACUAAAUUUCAACCAUCGUUAUUCAAUUUCAAAGAAAACAGUGCAUAUUCAGUUACAAGUGGACUCGGCAUGCAUUGACUGAAAAAUAUAGAGUGAGCAAACAGCUGCUCUGCAGAUCCUAGGAUUUCAAGGAGCCGGUGGAUUGCCGAACCGGUCCUUAGUUGUAAUAGAAUCAAAGCGAGACCAAAUUAAACCAUUGCCUCCAUAUAGUAAGUAGUACAGGAUGGGGAAAUCAGACAUUAUCCAUAGCAUCUAGAUUCACCAAUAGCUCAACCGACAAAGGAUUUGCACAAAAACAUAAUCGAAGUGAAACCAAAUGGAAAGACAUUUUAUUGAAAGCAGUAACACACACGGAAUAUCCGAUUUCAGAGUAACAAACACUACUAUAAACACCCAGGCACUGGCAUGUUAUCCUUUUAACAUAGCUAGACCAUACAGCUUCAAGCACGAAGAACUUAAGGCUAGAAUGUAGCAGAAAAUAUGAUUCAAGCACCUAAGAAUAGCUUCAUAAUCCACUGAGCCACAACCCACGACAGUAAGACAAAGAACUAAGGUAGGAACUAACCCCAAUAGGCACAAGUCUGCAUCAUAUUUUGACCUGGUGUAGCAAUCCCUACAAUUAAUUAGGCAUGUGAUUCACCAACUAAUCCUUAAGCCAAUGAACCACACAGGGACUAACCAUAAUGGCCACAAAUCUAUGUCAUGCUUUAACCUAAUGUAAUCCAACAAUUCCUGAAGGGAAAGACCUAAAACUGUACUAGCGCAAACCAACAGUCAGAUCGGCGAAAUAUCUUAAACUAAUAGAAUCCAACAAUAGACAGUUAAGAAAGGCAACAAAAAACUGUCACGAAUCUCAGCAUGCGACCGAGCCUCCCGCAAAGCAACAAGAAACCCGGGGAUCCAAGCAGAUCCCCUAAUCCAUCCAAAGAAAUCCAAACAUAUCCAGGCUUGUGCAUCCAAUUUUUUUACUCGGAUUCAAACAGAUAACGCAGCUAAAAAAAUACAAUUACUUCACAAACAUGGCAUUGCAGAUAACUAAUUAUACCUUAAUUCAUCCAAAUAUAUAAUCUACAGGGAAAUUCAUCCAAAAAUAUAAUCUACAGGUAAAUUCAUCCAAAAAUAUAAUCUACAGGGAUUUUUUUUCACAAUUACUUCACGAACAUGGCUAGAAGAUGAAUGUUUACCUUAGAAGUACCUGAAUAAAUUACGAACCUUACUGCUAGAUGUUGGAAGUGCCAAUGGCAUACUCCUGCAAGAACGGAUCACAUCAGCUAAACAUACAUGGGUAUACCUACUGGAAAGGAGAGGGAGGAAGGGACAGGUGACGGAGAGGAACCUGGAGGUGCAGGGGCACAAAUCCUGCCUGGCCCUUCUCCUCCAUCAAGGUCGCUGAUGGACCGGUCAACGCCCCACAGGCUGCUGCUGCCCUUCCAGCUGCCGCCACUUGCCCAUAU
This 4295-nucleotide long non-coding RNA is filed under the name Triticum aestivum (bread wheat). RNAcentral describes it as "long non-coding RNA (TAES_LNC002300)". The record is from RNAcentral. Lineage: Eukaryota; Viridiplantae; Streptophyta; Magnoliopsida; Poales; Poaceae.